UAAUACGUAGGGCGCGAGCGUUGUCCGGAUUUAUUGGGCGUAAAGAGCUCGUAGGCGGCUUGUCGCGUCGACUGUGAAAACCCGCGGCUCAACUGCGGGCCUGCAGCCGAUACGGGCAGGCUAGAGUUCGGUAGGGGAGACUGGAAUUCCUGGUGUAGCGGUGAAAUGCGCAGAUAUCAGGAGGAACACCGGUGGCGAAGGCGGGUCUCUGGGCCGAUACUGACGCUGAGGAGCGAAAGCGUGGGGAGCGAACAGGAUUAGAUACCCUGGUAGUCCACGCUGUAAACGUUGGGCGCUAGGUGUGGGGGACCUCUCCGGUUCUCUGUGCCGCAGCUAACGCAUUAAGCGCCCCGCCUGGGGAGUACGGCCGCAAGGCUA
Molecule: ribosomal RNA, 378 nt
Filed under: uncultured bacterium
Lineage: Bacteria
Description: bacterial SSU rRNA
Rfam family: Bacterial small subunit ribosomal RNA
Source: RNAcentral